This 503-nucleotide ribosomal RNA is filed under the name uncultured bacterium. RNAcentral describes it as "partial 16S ribosomal RNA". It matches the Rfam family "Bacterial small subunit ribosomal RNA", at positions 29 to 523 of the family's 1533-position model. The record is from RNAcentral.
AGUGAACGCUGGCGGUAGGCCUAACACAUGCAAGUCGAACGGCAGCACAGAGUAGCAAUACUUUGAUGGCGACCGGCGCACGGGUGAGUAACACGUAUGCAACCUACCUACAUCAGGGGAAUAACCCGGAGAAAUUCGGACUAAUACCGCAUAAUACAGGGAUGCCGCAUGGCAAUAUUUGUUAAAGAUUUAUCGGAUGUAGAUGGGCAUGCGUUCCAUUAGCUUGUUGGUGAGGUAACGGCUCACCAAGGCAACGACGGAUAGGGGAACUGAGAGGUUUGUCCCCCACACUGGAACUGAGGCACGGACCAGACUCCUACGGGAGGCAGGAGUGAGGAAUAUUGGUCAAUGGACGAGGGUCUGAACCAGCCACAUCGCGUGAAGGAAGACUGCCCUACGGGUUGUAAACUUCUUUUGUACAGGAAUAAAAGACAUUACGUGUAAUGUAUUGCAUGUACUGUACGAAUAAGCAUCGGCUAACUCCGUGCCAGCCGCCGCCGUAA